RNAcentral lists this unclassified non-coding RNA (244 nucleotides) under fungal sp. RNAcentral describes it as "partial internal transcribed spacer region". The stretch from base 1 to 46 matches the Rfam family "Eukaryotic small subunit ribosomal RNA", at positions 1786 to 1831 of the family's 1831-position model. Lineage: Eukaryota; Fungi. The record is from RNAcentral.
AAGUCGUAACAAGGUUUCCGUAGGUGAACCUGCGGAAGGAUCAUUAACAAAUUCUAAACACCUGUGUUCCUCAAGUUGCUGCUGCUUCUGCCUGCUGCCAAUUAGCCUCGCAAGGGGUUACUGGUUCUGUUGGUGGUUGUGGUAGUAGGUUGAGGGGUCACUAAAACAUACACUUUGAUUGACAACACCUAGUGAUCUAGAUAUUAAUUGUAGACAACUUUUAACAAUGGAUCUCUUGGCUCUU